RNAcentral lists this transfer RNA (74 nucleotides) under Candidatus Methanofrustulum fimipullorum. RNAcentral's name for it is "tRNA-Ile". It matches the Rfam family "tRNA". From Rfam's summary of the family: Transfer RNA (tRNA) molecules are approximately 80 nucleotides in length. Their secondary structure includes four short double-helical elements and three loops (D, anti-codon, and T loops). The record is from RNAcentral. Lineage: Archaea; Methanobacteriati; Methanobacteriota; Methanomicrobia; Methanosarcinales; Methanosarcinaceae.
GGGCCUGUAACUCAGAUGGUUAGAGUGCCCGGCUCAUAACCGGGUUGUCACUGGUUCAAAUCCUGUCAGGCCCA